GGGUGAGUGGUGGAAUCGGAAGACACAAGGGACUUAAAAUCCCUUGCCCCACAAGGGCGUGCGGGUUCGAGUCCCGCCUCACCCA
This 85-nucleotide transfer RNA is filed under the name Gemmata sp. Its description in RNAcentral is "tRNA-Leu". It matches the Rfam family "tRNA". Rfam says of the family: Transfer RNA (tRNA) molecules are approximately 80 nucleotides in length. Their secondary structure includes four short double-helical elements and three loops (D, anti-codon, and T loops). Lineage: Bacteria; Pseudomonadati; Planctomycetota; Planctomycetia; Gemmatales; Gemmataceae. RNAcentral also lists the same sequence under 4 other names. The record is from RNAcentral.